AUUGAACGCUGGCGGAAUGCUUUACACAUGCAAGUCGAACGGCAGCACGGACUUCGGUCUGGUGGCGAGUGGCGAACGGGUGAGUAAUGUAUCGGAACGUGCCCAGUCGUGGGGGAUAACGUAGUGAAAAUUACGCUAAUACCGCAUACGAUCUAUGGAUGAAAGCGGGGGAUCGCAAGACCUCGCGCGAUUGGAGCGGCCGAUAUCAGAUUAGGUAGUUGGUGGGGUAAAGGCCCACCAAGCCAACGAUCUGUAGCUGGUCUGAGAGGACGAGCAGCCACACUAGAGCGGAGACACGGUACAGACUCCUACGGGAGGCAGGAGUGGGGAAUUUUGGACAAGGGGCGGAAGCCUGAUCCAGCCAUUCCGAGUGCAGGAUGAAGGCCCUCGGGUUGUAAACUGCUUUUGUACAGAACGAAAAGGUUUCUACUAAUACUAGGAGCUCAUGACGGUACUGUAAGAAUAAGCACCGGCUAACUACGUGCCAGCCGCCGCAGUAA
RNAcentral lists this ribosomal RNA (500 nucleotides) under uncultured bacterium. Its description in RNAcentral is "partial 16S ribosomal RNA". It matches the Rfam family "Bacterial small subunit ribosomal RNA", at positions 30 to 523 of the family's 1533-position model. The record is from RNAcentral.